RNAcentral lists this transfer RNA (72 nucleotides) under Marmota marmota marmota (Alpine marmot). It matches the Rfam family "tRNA". Rfam says of the family: Transfer RNA (tRNA) molecules are approximately 80 nucleotides in length. Their secondary structure includes four short double-helical elements and three loops (D, anti-codon, and T loops). Lineage: Eukaryota; Metazoa; Chordata; Mammalia; Rodentia; Sciuridae. RNAcentral also lists the same sequence under 1 other name. The record is from Rfam by way of RNAcentral.
UGGGUUGUAGCUCAGUGGUAGAGCACUCGCUUGGCAUGUGUGAGGCACUGGGUUUGAUCCUCAGCACCACAU